CUACGGGCGGCAGCAGUGAGGAAUAUUGCACAAUGGGGGGAACCCUGAUGCAGCAACGCCGCGUGGAGGAUGACGCAUUUCGGUGUGUAAACUCCUUUUAUAUGUCAAGAAAAUGACGGUAGCAUAUGAAUAAGCACCGGCUAACUCCGUGCCAGCAGCCGCGGUAAUACGGAGGGUGCAAGCGUUACUCGGAAUCACUGGGCGGAAAGGACGCGUAGGCGGGUUGGAAAGUCAGGUGUGAAAUCCUACAGCUUAACUGUAGAACUGCACUUGAAACUUCUAACCUAGAGUAUGGGAGGGGGAGAUGGAAUUAGUGGUGUAGGGGUAAAAUCCGUAGAUAUCACUAGGAAUACCUAAAGCGAAGGCGAUCUCCUGGAACAUUACUGACGCUAAGGCGUGAAAGCGUGGGGAGCAAACAGGAUUAGAUACCCCGGUAGUC
RNAcentral lists this ribosomal RNA (439 nucleotides) under uncultured bacterium. RNAcentral's name for it is "partial 16S ribosomal RNA". It matches the Rfam family "Bacterial small subunit ribosomal RNA", at positions 339 to 795 of the family's 1533-position model. The record is from RNAcentral.